CUCUAUGGCCAUACUACUCUGUACUCGCCUAAUCUCGUCUAAUGUUGGAAGCUAAGCAGGGUUGGGCCUGGUUAGUACUUAGAUGAGAGAAAAGCGGCUACCACACGUU
Molecule: ribosomal RNA, 109 nt
Filed under: Jaculus jaculus (lesser Egyptian jerboa)
Lineage: Eukaryota; Metazoa; Chordata; Mammalia; Rodentia; Dipodidae
Source: RNAcentral